Non-coding RNA from Peromyscus maniculatus bairdii (prairie deer mouse), 2362 nucleotides. The record is from RefSeq and is a predicted model, not a curated record. NCBI's taxonomy places the organism in Eukaryota, Metazoa, Chordata, Mammalia, Rodentia, Cricetidae.
GGUUACCUUGGCGAAGACCUAGCUGAGAAUGCGGUGAAGGGGGAAACAGCGUCCCCUCGGGCGGGUGGCGUCUGCGGGGGGGUGGAAACAUGAGCUCUCCUGAUGAGGUGUCGGUUCGGGGAAGCGGGUUUGGGCCCGAAAGCGGGGAGCACUCGGAAGGACGCCGCCGCUUUAGCCAUGGGUCCCCGAGGAGACACGGCCUGGGCCCUGACGAGAGGUCGUUGCGGAGCAGUGAGGACAAGACGUGCCUCCCGGUCUCCAAGACGUUCCAGUACGACUCCUGGUUAGACAGGGAUGAGAUGGAGGGAAGGUCCGUCGUCUGGGGCUGCGAAGGUCGCCCCGGCACUCCCGUGGAUGAGAGGGGGGACAGUUUGGACUUUGUACCCCAGCUGACGAUAGAGGGUACAAGCUUCGGGCAGCAUGUAGCCAACCGGGAGGCCUGGGGUGUCCGCAGACAUCCGUCCCCCAAAAGCGGCCCUGCUGAGCCCCUGGGCAUUUGGGGAGACUCGGACGCAGGCACGAGCCGGAGGGGCAUGCGGCCCCCCACCUCCGUGGAAGGGAAGCAGGUGUCAGCUAGCCAACAGCACCCCAGGGGUCUGGGGCGGGGCCGGGCCUGGGUGACCCCAAGAAGAGGAGCCACAAGUAGGAUAAUAGCCAGUGAGGAUUUUCAAUUUCUGUCUUCCGACCCCGAGUCUUCUGACGAAUUCAGUGAGACGGAAUUGAUGAGGGUGACCAUUUGCCUCAAAGAAGGAGGCCAGGCCAAGUCCACUGGCCUCACUGAGCUGGAAGACACAGGCAGACGCACGAAUGUCCGUGGCAGGGGAAGCUUCGUCCAUAUGCCCCCCUCUCUGCUGGUCACUACUCCGAGAGGACUCAGCUCAGGCGGGGAGAAGCAGGCUUUGGGCGAGCUGGAGGGCUCUCUGUCUAAGAAAAAGCCAAGUGGGGUCUGGGGAAAAGAAGGGAGCAGACCCAGCUACCCAGGAGCUGCCGUUGCCAGCUCUGCUGCUGCCCCUGCCCCUGUUGCUAGUGCUUCAGGUGCCUCCCCGACCAAGACCAGUCCUAGAAAGAAGGGAGCGGCCAAGGAGAAGCCGACUCAGUGGGAUGCCUCAAGAGGAUCCCUGGGAAGAACCUUCCCACCAUGGGGACAGAGACUUAAGUCAGCUCCUGUAGAACCAGCUACUUUCCCCCCCAUCUCCGGGGUUGCCCUGCUUGGGAAGGCCAGUAAAUGCUCACUGCCUUCGGGACCCAAAGAGUGCAAGCCUUUCUGCACUGGGAAGAGAUCCAUGGCAAGGAAGACAAAGGAAUCCCAGCCAGGGGCCAAAGAAGAUAAUGACCCAACCAGAGAUCCUGGCCUGCAGGCCCAACUUCCAACACACAGGGCAGAGCAGCCUUGCACGUGCACGCAUCGUGGAGAAAUGAGCAGUGGAGACCCCAACACCAGAGCACCCCAAGUUGCAGGGAACUCUCAGUUCUUGUCCUUGAGCCAGAGAAGUGCCAGACCCAGAGCACCUGCACCGGCUGGUGACCAGGAUAUACUUGUGUGUCCUUUAUUACCUGCUGAAGAGGGUGAACCAGUAUUACAAGGCACACCAGGCUGUCCUCAGUGUCUGAUGCUACGGAAGGAAAUAGAGGAACUCAAGGAACAACUAGGUAUGACCGAGCCAGGGCAGGGGAUCGAUGGGAACAGGGCCAGAGGGAGAGCCUAGUGUUUGUGUGCAGGUGACUGGGGUGGGCUGAGGGGCGGUUCUCAGUGGGAAGGGACCUCAAGCAGGCCAGGCUGGGAGCCCUCUGUGCAUUGAGUGCGGGGACUUGCACCAAGAAGCAAUGCUGUCCCGUGCGCUGUGCAGAUGAGUCCCCCAGGUUCCCCUCUCUCUGGGCAUUGACACGGUCAGUCCUCCUUUAGUUUCCCUUGGAGUGCCGGCAGUUGCGAAUUGUGAGGUGUUUGUUGUCAAGUGUUUGUUCGUUUUACAAGUAGGGCUUGCACUGCUGUGGUCCAGCGUUUGAGGACUGCCUGUCCGUGCUGUUCUCCUGUAGAAACGUUUGCACAUAGAGCUCGGGGAUGGGGGGAGGAGUCUGUCCCGAGGCUCCUUGCACAGGGGCUGGAGGGCAGUGGGCGGCUGGCCUGGAGUUCUGUGGCACAGAGAAUAGGGCUCCGGCCGGUGGGGUCCUGGAUGUCUGUGUCUGGAGACCCAUUGGUACCUCUUGUGUUUCAGCCAUCAUGCAGGCCCUCAACGAAAAGUUCCAGGAUCUUUGAAAUGAUGCUCUGCUGCCCACAGGCCCUUUGAAGUUGGACCCGGCAUCCCUGCAGAAGAGGCCAGGCUACUCCCCAUGGAUCCUGCUCCCUUCCCGGCACUCUACAGCA